This 496-nucleotide ribosomal RNA is filed under the name uncultured bacterium. RNAcentral's name for it is "partial 16S ribosomal RNA". It matches the Rfam family "Bacterial small subunit ribosomal RNA", at positions 29 to 507 of the family's 1533-position model. The record is from RNAcentral.
AUGAACGCUGGCGGCGUGCCUAAUACAUGCAAGUCGAGCGAACGGACGAGAAGCUUGCUUCUCUGAUGUUAGCGGCGGACGGGUGAGUAACACGUGGAUAACCUACCUAUAAGACUGGGAUAACUUCGGGAAACCGGAGCUAAUACCGGAUAAUAUUUUGAACCGCAUGGUUCAAAAGUGAAAGACGGUCUUGCUGUCACUUAUAGAUGGAUCCGCGCUGCAUUAGCUAGUUGGUAAGGUAACGGCUUACCAAGGCAACGAUGCAUAGCCGACCUGAGAGGGUGAUCGGCCACACUGGAACUGAGACACGGUCCAGACUCCUACGGGAGGCAGCAGUAGGGAAUCUUCCGCAAUGGGCGAAAGCCUGACGGAGCAACGCCGCGUGAGUGAUGAAGGUCUUCGGAUCGUAAAACUCUGUUAUUAGGGAAGAACAUAUGUGUAAGUAACUGUGCACAUCUUGACGGUACCUAAUCAGAAAGCCUCGGCUAACUACGUG